UCACUCUCUACAGCUGCCUGAAAGGAAGUGGUGGUGAGGUGGGGGUGGGGGUCGUCCUCUUCUCCCACGUAACAGUUGUGGGAGAGUCACCAACAGUGAGGUGGUGGAGUCACCAACCCUGCAGGCGUUCAAGAAACGUGUAGAUGUUGUACUGAGGGAUGUGAUUUAGUGGGAAAUAUUGGUGGAAGGCGGGUGGUUGAACUGGAUGGCCUUGGAGGUCUUUUCUAACCUUGGUGAUUCUAUACUAAAUAUUACUGCUAUGGGCAAAACUAACCGCAAAUGUUACAUAAAAAGGUUUUUAAUUUUUAGAAUAUAGAUUGUUUCUAUGUGUAAAAUCCAGUGCUUGUGAAGUGCAAAUGCGCAGCACAAGAAGAAUGAAAACUUAGCCUGAGAGCAGAAACAGCACAAACUAUACCACUGCAUUCUUCUCCCAUGUGCUCUAGCCAGGAACAGCCGUGAUGGUGCCAGGAAGGGCAGUCUGUACAGCACAGUGGAGUUUAUUGUUUACAUCUCUGCAGUAGCUAAAGGCUCCGAACAGAUGUAAAUCAUAUUAUUUGCUAACAAUACCUUCCAGUCAAAACAGAAAAAGAAAUCCUCUGAAGCUUAUGGGUUACACAACUGAAGUACAGGUGAAAACGAAAGUGAAAGGGUAAAUUCCAUGCCUCAGUCUCUGUUACUAUCAGUUACUGUAUUUCUUAAGACCAGCAAAAAUCAGCAGUGGAAAGCAUAAGCAAGUAUGAGCAGGUCUUCAGCUCCAUACAGUCCAGGGGUACUCAGUUACCACAUAUUCACUGCUAUCACCUGGGCUGAACCAGAUGGCCUUCAUAAAUUCCUUCCAACCUGCUUUUUUUUCAAUGAUUACAUGUGUUAGCUUGGCAUACAUUUGACAGAAACUAGCAUAUAACUGCAAAGAAUUACAAAAAGAUCUCACAACUGUUAUUGGCUCUAACACACAAAAAAAGCUCUAAGCAGACAGUCCUACACCUCUGAAAUACAAAAACAUCAUCUCUGAGCUACAAAACUGCCAGUCAGGAAAGCGUUCUGGAGUAAGGUGCUGUCCUGCUGGCCUCUGUCCCCUUUGGAUUGCCCGUCCAAGACCAAGCGUCAAUCUGACCCUGCACACAGUGUUUAAGUCCUCCCAGGAGAAAGGACUGAAGAAAAACUAAACAAACAAGACAAUAACUGAUUGCAUGAGACAACAAAUGGGAGAACAGAAAUGACUGGAAUGGGAUGCCAGGAAAAGCACCUCUGGCAGCACCCAGCACUUCCCAGAGAGAACACCAAUGGCUUGGUUGAACUUUUGGACUGGCCUAAUAAAACCAUGUGACAUCAGACAAAGCACUCCAUAGCAAGGUGACUUCUGCCAUACAGAGAUUUCUGUCAUUUUUACUAGUUAACUUGGAGAUGAUUCUAAAGACAACCCAGGCAUAGAAGGGUGCACUUUUAGAGAAAAGCAAAUAACGUUUCCCCACCUCCACAUUCAAGUACAGUUAAGAGGCAACAGCAACGUAGGAUCACUGAAAAGCUGUCACAUUUCUUUUUACAGUGGGAAUUACUGAUGUUCAAAUGAUUCACACAUUUAAGUAAAACCAAAGUACACUCAUGGAAUUUCAAUGCUUUAACAUGGAAACGUCACCGUGAACCCAUCUCAGUGCAAGUGAAGAGCAUGACAGUACUUGAACAUCCUGAAUAAGGAAUUGGAGAGUUGAAAUCGACUCUCCUGGUUAAUUAAUUGCUAUCUUUGAGGAGGUGCAUGGUGGUUUGCGGAUAGCAAUGUUUAUCCAGGACAUGCCCCAGUCUUCGUUGCUGCUGCCCACAAAAAAUGCUUGGAUUAUAAUCAGAACCUUCAGAUUAUCUCUGCUGCUGACAAAGAUUUCAUUCAUUCAAGAGCAUUACUUCUGGGACAUUUCUGUUUUCUAGUACCUGUUUGUUUGUGGCUUGGUUGCUUUUUUGUUGUCUGAGAUUCCACUCAAUAGUCAACACUUUAUUCUGAAAAUGAUUGCAUUUGUUUUGAGAAUGUUUACUCUCUGACCUGAACAUUUAUUUUAAUAUGCUUACUGUAAACACUCGAUUGCCCCUUAACUUAAAAGACCACAAGCUACAAUGUCACAGCUCCUGCUUUGAGAAAGUUUCGUCUACCUUCAGUGAAACAGUUUCCAGAGUAAGGUUUCCAGAUGUAAGUAAUUUGCUUCUUAAUUCAUUUAAAUCCCUUAAAAAGAAUCAGGCUUCCAACGCCUGCGUUUAACAGCCAUAGGGAAGCAAAUUUAGAGGAAAGAAUGAGGUGAAGAAGUACAGGAACAACUGAAAGCUCAAGAGCAGGGACACAGUCACGUCCAGUCACUGGAAGUCAUGAGCAGCACUGAAAGGUCAUUUCUCUCUAGACACUGAAGGACUGAUGUGAAUAGAAAGCAAUUUUCUUGAUUACUUAAUAAAAGUUUGAGGGGAAGUGUUGUAGUCAAAAAUAAAUGCAUUAAUGUAGUUACUUUCAACACACUACAGUGAUGGAGGAGUCUGGCCCAACCGUUUGUUGUGCACAUCUUGAAAGCAGUGGACAGAUCAUGCUUUUUGCUCAUACAUUUGGUGGCAUUUAAAUUCUGAUUGUAGCUAAUAUUAUUAUACAGUAUCACAUAGCAUUUUGGGCUACUACUACUUUCCUCUGCUUUUUCCCUCCUGGGCAGUUUCAAAACAGCUCCAGACUAGAUGCUGCUCAAGCACUGCAUGAUUCCCUCUGGCCCUGCUGCCUGUUCCUCCAAAGUCUGCUCUUGCACAGCACAUCAUUAGGACAACUGCUUGUCAAAAUGAAUACACUAAACGUUUGCUACAGCUGAAGUUUUCUAAAGAGUUCCUUCCAAAUUAAUCCACUCAGUGACCAUCAUCCCAUCAUCACAAUACACGUCGAGAGCAGAAACUCUUAUCUCUGUCACCUCCAUCGUACAAAAGAAAGCAAGCACAGCCAAAGAUGCUAGCCAAGGUUUUUUGUACUAUCUCACCAAGAGAUACAUCACUUACUUUGAAAAAAAAAUCUGCUAUUGAUAGUUCUCACAACAGCAACAAAAUCAAGAAACAACGCUCAGUCUGCACUGCCAGGCAUGGGAUGAAGCCAUGAGGAACAGAAACCUGCAGAGGAUGAUUCCACAGAGCUGCUCCAAGGGAAGGAACAGCUUUAAGGACUGCAUAUUUAAAACAUCCCUGGUCAGACCUCUUCCACUUUUUUUUCCGCCACCCUUUCAAUUGGAUAGGAAACAGGCAGUCUUCUGCUGGAGCUGAUAGGCUCCAAGGACAAAAUGCAACAGUUUCCUAAUCACCUUCCAACCAUAAAUAAUUCUGUGUUCUCUCCUUUCUACGUGAAUUGAUAUUUACACGAAAAUGUAUUAUCCACAGCCAAUCAGUUUGAUGUAGGUGUUGAUUUGCUGUCAUCUAGCACGUUAUGUUGCAAAGUGACUGUGUAGAAAUAAUUGCUGUCAGUGCUAUAGUUUCCUGGAACUUGUGACUAGGAGCAGACCGCUGUGUACAGAGGCCACAGAAAGGCUUCUUGUACAGGCACAGACACCGGCUUUGCAAUCACCGAGCGCUAUGGGCACGGCCCUCAGGAAAAGCACUGUUAAGAUUUACAGCUAAGGUAAUGUCACACAUUUACAGAGCAGCACCACAAAUAACUUGACCGUGUGUUUACAGUAAUUUUAUUUACAAGUUACCAUAUGACACCUGUAGUACUACAGUUUUUUAUAACACCAUUAGCAGUAAAAUAAGUCACAUCUAGAAUAGGAGGCAGCUGAGAAAAAUGUGCACAGAGAAUGCAGAAAAGCUAUUCAGUUAUAAUUAAAGUAGGUAUCGUUCUACACACUUCAAAAGCAAGGAGGAAUAUACAAGUUGAGAAGAGCAAGUUCUUCACCCCGUUAGUUCUACAGUAUUAAAAUUUUUCUAACAGUGACAUCUUGGUACGAUGAACACUACACACUAGCAGUCAAAUGCAAGUGGUGGGAAGAUAACUGUAUUAACUCCUUGUCCCUCUGAGGAAAAACAAAGCUUCCCUCUUUUAAAGGAAAGUUAUCCAGGGCAGAUUUACUUGCAGUGCAGAAACACUAUCAGGGGGUCAGGAAGGACAGAAUUUAAGACUAGAGAGUUCCCAUGCAUUGCAUAUUGCCUGUGCGUUCUUAUCUGGUCUUGAGUUAAGGAGUUGGUGAACAAAACCAGUUGCAGCAUUCCCCAAGUCUUUUUACAGCGCCAUGAUCUAAUAAGGCUGUGGUAGCUUAGCAGAAUCCCAAAAUCAAGCAGAGAAAAAAGCCCUUCUGCUCUCUUAUAAUCCUUGGCUCUAACGAUGCUGGUGUUGAGCCUGGGCCUUUCUCAAGAGGAAAAAUGUGGAGGAGCAAUUCCGGAGAAACUCUCUAGAUCUAGAUGUGUUCUGGUGAUAAGAGUCAGAAGAAAACAAG
Long non-coding RNA from Gallus gallus (chicken), 4430 nucleotides. The record is from Ensembl. Lineage: Eukaryota; Metazoa; Chordata; Aves; Galliformes; Phasianidae.